Molecule: long non-coding RNA, 8010 nt
Organism: Alligator mississippiensis (American alligator)
Lineage: Eukaryota; Metazoa; Chordata; Crocodylia; Alligatoridae
Exons: 2
Source: RefSeq, a predicted model, not a curated record
GGGGGGGGCGGUCUGAAAUAGUUCCCUGCACGGAUCAGGGCUCCUCUUCCAGAUCCGUUUUCUCGGAGGAAAGGCACAAGGUCCCCGCGGCUGUAACCUAAGAGCUGAAGAUGGCCGGGAGAUUAUUUUUACAUUAAGAGCAACUCAAGGAUGCAAACGUGCCUCUGAGGGGUUUUGCACGUCGCGAUUCCGCUGGGGCAUGUGCAGUCCCCUGGCCGAGCGCCGCUCCCCGGGCUGCAGGGCUCCCCGCUGCCACUCUGCAACUCAAGCCCGGAUGCCUCUUGAUUCAGACCUAAGCACCCAAGGCCAACGCCCAUUGAAGUAAAUUAAAACGUCAGUACAGCUGAAGAUUUUUUCUGCCUGAUGCUUCAGUAAAGUCUGAAGUCUUGUCUUGACAUGGCAAAAGUAGCAAAGAGGAGACUGAUCUUAGAUGAGAAAGCUCAUCCAUGCAGGAGAUGGAGUUUUAUGAGGGUCUGCAAUGACAAAAACUUGAGGGUCUGCCCAUGACAAAUGUUAUUACCUUGUCUUAAAAGUGUAAAGUACAUGUCUCCAUCUUGCUUUUUCUAACAGAAAUAUAGACCAAUGUAGCCAUUAAAAAACAAACCAAAACCUACCAAAAAAGCCCAGCCAUUGAAAGAUGGCAAUUAAGGGAAAGACUCAUGACAAAUGUCCAUCAUACCGCCUAAUAUGUUCUCAGAAGAUACCACAGCCAUUGAGAUGAUUUAAGGCAGUUUAAGAAGAUAGGUGAGGAAUAACAGCACUUUCAGUUCUUAAGGUUCUCUGACAUUUCCCAUUAUAAGCCCCUGUUCAGUUAUUUCUAGAUUAGCAUACUUUUUAUCAGUAUGGGUUGAAAUUUCCCUACCAUGUGUUUGCUUCAAACUGAAGAAAUCUGGAAAAUUGGCCUAAUUUUUUUAGCUGUUUUCAAGAAUGAGACUAGGGAAAAAUGUACUGGUUGGUCCAUGUUUAAAAACUACUUAAGUCCUUUGAAAUGCUAUAGUGCUACAGUACUUCAAAGCAGGGAUCUGAUCUUUGGCAGAGGGGUAACCUUUGUAUCAGUCAAGGAGGUGUCUUUUGCUAUUCCUGUGAAAAACUGUCUGUAUUUGGCCAAGCUUGUGUGUAGUGACUGAGGAAGGGGACAACAAGAGAAAGGAUGGUUUCAAGAUUAAGGCAGUUAAAUGUUGCCUUGGAGAACCAGUACUAUCUUAUGGCACAAUUACUUAUUCUGCUGAAAUGCAUGUGUAGAUAGUGACAGGCUGGCUGGGACACAGGGGUGCUAAAGUGCGGGGACUGCCUGCUGCAUGUCUCCAUACUUUAAUGCUUUCAUGCCCCGGCCAUUCCCUCCGCUGCCACCCUGAGCCCAGGACUGACCCACCAAGCGUGUUGCCAGCCCAGGGCUACUCUGCCUCAGCUCAAACUGCUGCUGUCCUGGGCUCAUGUGCAGAGACUAGGCCCAGGAGCAGUUGAAUGGUGCAAACAGCUCCAGAAUUUAUUAUGCUGCAUUAACUUCGUGCAAGGAUGAGAUGCACCUAGUGGGUACUUUGUUUUCUACAUGAUGCACUAUAUACUGCUAAAUACGCUGAAAAAGGCAUGUCCUAGGCAUGCCAGAUUGGGUACCCAAAAUUAGGGGGUACUUUUGACUUUAAUCUCUACUUGCCUCAAUUCUCUGUUUCUAAAAGGAGAAUAACAAUGUGUUUAAUUUCAAAGUGCAUCAUGCAUUGCAGGGCCAAAUUAAGGUUCUACAUACAAACCUUCUUAUUGGUAUUUUCAAAUUUGUGAGUGCUUGGUUUUAGCACAUUUCCAAUUAUUGUUAUGUACUAUAAAGCACUGUUAUUACUUCCCAGCUGUAUCAAAUGAGAAGAUGGUCUGGGAACUCACAGACAACUGUUAGCACAUACAGCCCUUGAUAAGUGGCAGAAUCUCUCCUGGCCUCAUACUGCCCUAUGAAGAGCCUCAAAGAGUCAUGUGGACAGAACCAGGCUUAAUGGCUUUUUAUUAAAGUAUAUUUAAAAGGCAAAUCCAUGUCUUUUAAACUCUGAUUAUAUUGGAAAAGCUUCUUGGGCACACUGGAAGGCUCUAUCCAAGAUUCUCAAUUUUGGAAUAGUACCAACAGUAACAUCCAUCUAUCUGGAGUUGUAUCUAUGAGAGUUGUUUUAGCUCAGUUUCCUGUCUUUUCUUUUAUUUCUCAUGUGCUACAUAUUCACCUUCCUUCAAGCUUUCUUAGCCAACCACUUGGAUGAAGGAUGAGGAAGAAGGACUGGUGGAAGGAGGACCAGUAUACGAAAAUAAUUCCAUAUCUUGUAAUUGUUGGUGAUAUAGAGGUGGGGUAGAAGGCUGAAGGAGACACCUGUGCAGCUCAGUUUAGAGCCAAUUGUUCUAAAUAAUCUAUGCAGCUCUCUAUAAUGAUACCAAUUUUCUAUCAUCCACAUAAGCUGCAAGUUUAUCCUAGAACACUCUCCUACCCCCAUCUCUCAUUUGGAAUGAGAUAUGUGCUCAAUAUCAACUCCCCCAAAGCAGCUGAAUGCAAGGAAAUGAAAGAAAGAAUGCACUGAAUUAGACCUGGAUUUGAACUUUUAAGUCUCCACUUGCUGAGCAUAACUUUUCACUUUGGAUUUGACUGAUCCAACAGCCAUGAACGUGCGCAUAUGUGUGUGCAUGUAUAAGAGAGAGAGAGAGAGAGAGAAAGUGUGUGUGUUCAGACUCUGGGAACUUCAGGCUGAUACAGCCCCAAGUUUAUUCUGAGCCUCAAUUCAUUUAGCAUUUGCAGGGUGAACUAUUUCAAGAAUGUGCAAGAAUCAGUCCCUAAAAAGGCAGACUGAGACGUGGUGGAGUGUGGGGGAUGGGAUUGUACAGUAAGACAGCAUUUCCCCAUGGCAGUUUAAAACAGAUCUUUUUUUUCAUCCAAGUCAAAUCCCCCAACAUGACCUGAGAAGUUUUCUAAUAAAAUGUAGAUGUAACCUUAUCUAAACUCAGUGCAGCAAAUGUACGAUGGAUAAUGUGUAAUUAAUAACAGAAAAUAAUGUUUCCCCUGUUAUUAAAUCAAGGCCCCUUUUGGCCUUUCACCCUCAUAUAAGUGUCUCUAGUUUUAUGACAGCAAUGGACGACAUUAAUGUGUGUGAGUAUGUGUGCAUAUGUGUGUGUGCUGUUGGCAAAAGGCUCACCUAACUCUAGCUAGAAUUGGCUUAAGGUGGGUUUUUUUUUUGCCUCUAGUAGUUUAUAUGGAGUUUGGCCCCCAGAUGAACUCAAUCAGUGUAUGAAACUGAUCUGGUUCCUUUGAGUGCAGAUUCCACCCAUAUAUCUCAGCGUAACUAUAUCUAACUAUUUACACACACAAAUAGACAGACAAGGAAGGGGAGCAUUUCUGUUGGACUCCCUAAUGCAUUUCCAGGCUUGAAUAUAUACUGGAAGAAUGUAUCAAUAUUUAUAUGUGCAUGCAGCAAACAAGUAGGAAACAAAGAGCAGUUGAACUAUGCUAUAAGGAAUAAGCAUUUUUGUCACAGUACAGUAAAUCCUUGCUGCUUACAAGAGGAUGGCUUCUCACUGGAAAUGAUUUCCUGCUUUAAUUUUUGCUUCCCAUCAGCAAGUUGUCACUGUUGACAAAAAUUACUGUGUGUGUAUAUAUAUUAUAUAUGUGUGUGUGUGUGUGUGUGUAUUAUAUAUAUAUAUAGGAGCCAGUGUAUAUACUUUAUAGAAAUGGAAGAAUUAGAGAGAAAAAUGGAGCAACAAAAUGCAUUAAAAUGCAUUAUCAGCAGGGACUUUUUUUUUUAACCCAUACUGUUUUUUUCUGAAUAUCUCCCCCUCCCCCACCCCAAUAUGUUCAUUGUAAGUAAUGCUAUCGAGCCCCAAAGGUCACCAGGCUUGUCUGAUGUAUAGGCUUCCCUUCUGAUUCAUUAUGUUUGAUGCACAGCUUUUCCUGGAGUCAACUCAGCCAAACCUUUGGGUUAAUGGAAGCCACACCAGCUCCUAAUCCAGUAGCUUUGAAUUCUUCUGUUUGUAUUGGAUAUAGAGGCUGAGGCGCUGUGGAAAAGCCUGGUCUUUUAGGGUCAGAGAAGUUCCUUUUGAUCAUCAUCAGCAGUGAUGUGAACCAGAGGUCACACAUUUUCCACCAGUCCUCCAGAUCUACCAGACAGCAGCAACUGUGUCUGCUUGUUUCCCCUGCUGAAGUCAUGCAAUGCUUCUCAUUCUACCUCCCACGUGCCAAUGGGACCUGGCAUUCCCCUUCUGCCACUGGUUUACCAGGGACUCUGGGCCACAAGGGACAAUAUCUUGUCACCACCUUAAGUCUGAAUGCAACUCUUUCCACCCCCUCCAUUCAACUGAAAGGCAACAAAUUCUUUGCUCAUCUCAGAGGUCUGUACCUUUCCCCAGCAUGUUUUUCCCUUAGCAAUUUCCUGAAGGCACUAAAAGAAGUGGAGAUAUUAGAAUCCUUUAGGAUUCAGAGAAAAACAUUUUCCUCAAAGAUGGGUGAAAAGAGACUCACCUUCACUGCAUCCAUGGAAAACAGACAGGAGUAGCCAGGCUUUAGGGAUUUACUGAUCUGUCAUAAUAUUUAUACAUAGAUCUGUUUAGGGAUAUAUCACAUACUUCUCACCCUAUCAGUUUGCCUAUCACAUGAAGCUCUGUGAGUACAUGUAAGUAUGUGUAGAGGUAAAAUAUUUUUCUUCCUGUAGCAAAACUAAAAAUGUCACUAAUCUAUUCUUUUUGCAUGUCUCUCUCUCUCACAUACACACACACACACACACGCAUGCACGCAUGCAUGCAUGCACACAGCCAUUUGUUGCAUAAUUUGUAUGUCUGCCCAGUUCUCUGACUAUAGCUUCCAAAGGGGUAAACAUAACCCCUGCCUUUUGUGCUGUGAUAGAAGGAAUGUCAAGAAGGUUUUGCCAGCCUUACUGACUGAUAAGUCUUCUGUUCAGCAUUCAGACAUGCUAGCCUUCACCAUCUCUGUGUGAAGUAAAUACCACACUACAUUUUUGACAACGACCUUCCUCUCCCCCCCUCCAAACAAACAAAAAACUGCAAGUUCAGGACAUAUCAACUUUUUGGUUUAGUACCAGCGACAGGAUUCAAAGCCAUAAUACCUUUCGCCUGCAGUAGGAUAAAGGACAGAACUGAAGCUGCGAACAUUUAUCGUUUGGCUGAUAAAGGUAUUUGUAGAUGUUACUGUUAGAAACAGAUCCAUUCAGAUAAGGUCAGAAUGCAACUGGCAUGUGACACAUGGAUCUUUAAUGGGGGAGAAAAGGAAGUAGUCUUUUGUUCCCUUGUUUGUGCCUUACAGGGGUGGGCUACUCUCCUAGAUGUAAGAGCUGCUGUUCAUCGGGGCUACCAUCUUCCCAGGUGUUAGAUUCUUAACGACAGGUUUAGUUGGUAGAGCAUAGCCUAUGCCCUUAUUGUCCUGCAGGCCCUUGAAGAGGAUUACCUGCAGAAGGAAGCAUAUGUAGCACUCUUCUAAAAAUGGUUUGGAUCUGAGGAGGGAUUGGAACCAACUGGCCACUGCCUUGGCCUUUGUAUGUUGAUAUAUAGUUGAACACAAAUGCUAAAUCACAACUGUACAUGAAUAAGUCCACAUGGAAACCAGGAUCAUGAAUAGAGCUGGUCAGAAAAAGGAUUGUCUAGCCUGGAGCAGGAGAUGGAGGGAGAGACUUUUUUUCCUAAUUCAUCAUAAUUGGGACAAAUUUUUUACAAAGGAACAUUGUAAAAAAAAUCAUGGGUUGUCAAUUAAUGAUCAGUUUUCCUCAUUGUUUUACAGCGAAAAAAGUUUAAAAGUUACAUUUAAAAAAUAAUACAUCAAAAAAAUCCAAAGUACUUUCCAUUCUGCAAACAAUAUUACCAAAUUUAUCAAAAAGAGUCUCAGUGACAUCAUAGUCCCUGGAAAAAAAAAUACUUGUUCCACCAAAAAUGGCAUUGUCUGGUGGAAAACGACUUUGACAAUUUUUAUUUUUAUUUUUUUUGCAAUCAGCUCAAACAACAAUGCAGACUACAAGGCAGGGGAGAAUCAAGUGCAGUGUUCCAAAGAGAAACCAUGGUGGCCACACAGCCCUGCACCACCUCCUAUUCAGUGCUAGGCUGUGACAGCACAACUGGCCCACAGAAUCCAUUUGAGAAACAGGUGGAAACAAGUUACACUUUAGAAAUGAAUGUGUUGUGCUAAUUGUGUGUAUUCAUAGAAAAGCCCCCUUCCCUGCCUCCCAAAUCAAAGCAUGCAUUUGUUUCCAGUAUCCUUCCACUCUGAAGAUCAUUAAUACACUGUGACACUGAGGUCACAGGUCAAGUUUGAGAUUAUGGUCCACAUCCUCAACUGAUGUAGCUCUUAAGUGGAAGGAGUGACGCUAAUUUACACUUGGCACUCUGCUAAUUUACACCAAUGAGGACUUGUCUCCUUGGGGGAAAACUGGGAAAAAUUGCUUUUGAAACAAGAUGUCAAGGGUUCUUCCCCAUUUAAUAGUCAUCAAGGACUUCAGGACUAGACAUUCAUAUCAUCGGAGGGGGCAGGUCCUCAGCCUGUGUAACACUGGCAUAGCUCCAUUUAUGCUUCUCUCCUUUUACUCUUCUGUGCACAAUGAUUCUAUACUGUUGUAAAUCAAAUGGCUUCAGAGAAGGCCUUUGCUUCUGAUUCACACCAACUGGAGUGAAAUGAGAAUUAGGUUCCAUAACAUUUUGUUUCUGCUUCCUUUUCUUCCUAGCUAAUACUAGCUGUUGGGAAGUAUCAGGUCUGAACUGAGCUCUAGUAGUAACAGUCCACCAACAUCAUCAGAGUUGUUUUUAUUCGCCUUUGGGUUGACUUAAAAACACAAAGAUCUUAGGGUAAAGAACUCAUCUGCUUCUUUUACUGUCCUGCCAUUUAUCUCCUGCUUGAAGCUUCUGUUUGUGACAUCAAAAUUGGCUCCUACAGAAAUGUUUAUGACAUCAGACAGGAUGGUGGUUUCAAGCAGAGAAAAGCAGUGGGAGCAGAUGAUCUCUUAAAAAACAACAAUGUUACAAGAAUGUAAAUAUUAGUAAAUUUAGAAUGAAGGACGAAAUAUACACUAACCAUGGGAAACAGAUACACAAAUGUUUCUGAACAAGGUUUCCAGAAAGCAUCAAAUGCAGAAGGCCUCAGUCCUAGAAGUUCGACAUAUAUGCUUAAUUUUAAGCACAGAAAUAAUCCCACAAGAGUCAGUAAGGCUACCUACAUGCUUAAAAUUAAGCACAUGGUUGUUUGCAGGAUUAGGCCUAUAGUUUUCAGCAUAAGUAGAAACAAUUCUGUAGUUAUUUGCAAAACAAAACUUUACCAGAACUAUAUUUUAAGAAUUUUAGUUGACCAAAAAAUGAAUGUUCUGACCUUCUCUAGGUUAUAUCAAACAAAUUAACAGAAAAAUUGUACAUUUAGUUUAAGAUUUCAUAGGGGAACAACAUUUUUACAUUGUAAAACUCAAUCACCUCAGAUUACAUUUUAUUUGAGCUUUUGAGGGUUUUUGUGGUACUUUGGCAUCACUAUUUGUAUUUGAAAAGGGGAGGGGGUCUGGGUUUUGUGAAUUUUGCAUUUUGGGGCUGAUUUUGGACCAUUAUGAGUAUUCUUGGGAGGACUUACAACUGGGUUCUACUCCUACCUCUGCUUUGCUGUGAAUCUGGGCAUAAUACUUAAUCUCCGUAUGUCUCAUCUUUUCCCUACAGCUUUAAAAGAGGACUAAACAACAUUUCUCAACCAGGAAAGCUUGCCAGAUCCUUGGAUAAAAGGUGAUCCUUUCCUGACAACCUAUAGGAUUUAAGAUCUGCAGCACUGCUUUCGAUGUCAAGCUUAUGUAAUAUAUUUACAAAGCUGGAAAGCAGGGCCUUAUUACAGGAUGGCCCAUGAUACUAUUGCCUGCUUCCUCUGGAUAUCAGUGUCAGAGAGCCUUCUUUGAUUUGACAAGUUUUUGGUUUCUGUGUAGGGAAUGGGCACAUGUGAUGAAGUACAAGUUUCAUUUAUAAUUUCUUUAUUAAAAUUGUUUGCUUAUUUGAUGGUGACAACAAGUAAAGGGUUAUCAGUGAUAA